AAGCAACGACUGCCGUUAAGUUGUUGCCCUGUUGGAACUCGCUAAUCCAGCAGUAACCGUUGUUGCAGCCUUCACGGUGCGUGGAUUUUAACGACCGUUACCUCGCAAACGAACCUCGAAGAUCGCCAAACGCGUUUCCUCCGAUCAGAAGAAGCUAACCAUUCGGGAUGCAACGUGGCACGACCGUCAGAAGUCCGCGAGAACAAGCGAUCUUAUUCCAGCACUAAUUAGACCAAGUUAGGAAACUAAUUGACUCGUUAUACCGUCUUCGUCGCUGCGCGUUAUAAUGCAUGUAAUUAUUUAUAAGCCAACGUUACGUUAGAGACGCUUUCGAGGCGCAAGUACGCACUGAGCUCGAGUCGAGCAGAGGGUGAAACGUGAAAGUAGAGUUUCUUGGGUCUGAUCGUUUUUUUCUUUGAAAAUUCUUGUCCGCUGGAACGAGGUGUUCGAGCUGAUGUGACAUUUACGAGUGGAUAUGUUUCCUGAUUGCGCGCGAAAAACGGGGGAACUUGCGAAGCCAGUUUCCUAGGCCGAUUGACAGAAUUUGCGUGGCUAAAUCUAAGCUUCGUUGGAAGUUCAAUAAAAAAUUAAGAAUUAAUGUCAAGUACUAGGCUGCACUAGCAAUCGUGGUUAUUUCGUUGGAGCCUGGAACAGAAUCUUUCUUUCGCAAACAGAAUUUGUUUUCGAAGAAUAGCUCAUCGUAUGUCUCAUCGUAUUACAUUAGGAAUAGCCUAUGACUAAACCAACCCGACAGGCCUGAAGAGUUAGUAAUCAUCAGCAACACUGUAACCAAACCAUUCUAAUUCCGUAUCGAUUUUCCCCCUACGCAUCUUCGUUAACAUCUCGGAUCUCGAAGCAAAGCCAUCGGAAAUCGUUGAAAGAGAUUAAUGUCGAUGGGCAACUGUUCCCGCCAAAAAACUGUUACACGCAAAUUGUUUCCACUCGUACAGCGCAAACAUCGAGACGUUUGUUUGGCUUCCGCGAUUCUCGAGUAAAUGUAUCCUUCCGAUCGAUGCAUACCUAGAGUCGAUUUGUGUAUAAACAGAUCCUUAUUGGCGACCCGCCAGCUCUGUCGCGAAGCUAUUGAAACCGAUUUGGCCCCCGACGGGACACGCCGGUCCCGUAAUCGUGAAAGUGUAUCGAUCUCCGUGAUCUAGGCCAUCGUGUCACCUUUUCAGUCCGCGGACGAUCAGCUGUAGAACGGGUCUUCCGCUUUCUUGCGUCCAAAAGCGAGGAAACGAGAUUGCAAACAGUUAUGGUUCGUAGAUUCUCGAGGGUUGGUUCAUCUAAUUUUUUCGGAGCAGGCUUGAGGGCUUCAAAGAUUCCUAUUGGUCUCUUCUAGCAAUAAUAAUGUGAUAUAAACAGGUACUUCGAAAAGAGAGAAAGGAACGUAACUUUGUUUCGAAUGGACGUCGAUUUGCUGGUCAUGUGGUUAACUAUUUUAAUCAGCUGAACGUUAGGAGGGCGUUUUGGUCGAAUAUUGAGGUGUUACUCCAUUGGAAAAUGAUUUGGCAUUGAAAAAUGGACAAAUUGCGUAUAAUAUUCAUCCUUGAGAAGACUACCUAAAAAGCAUCCAAAGUCCGACCAACAGCUCGCGAUGAAUUCCGCAAAAUAGCAUGAGCUAACCGCUGAACCAAACAUGGACCACUGGGAUAUUAUCUACCUGUUAAUUUACACAAGCACGAAUCAGUUCACCAACUGUGGAAUUCGCGCGAAAUGCGGAUUGAAACAUCCAAUGAGUGAAAUCGAGCAAUUCAAACGGGAGGAAAGUGAUUUGGUAUGGCAACGUAUGUAACUGGGAGAGUCGCUAUAGUCGAAAGGAAACAGAAGUGGAGAUACCUAUAUCAUCGACAGGAUCUUAACAGUUUUUAUAGCUCAUUUCCAACCUUCAGACAGAAUCUUUGAAUUUUCUUAAGUGUUAAUAUUUUUUUUUAAAGUACUCAAAUAACUGCUUCUUUGUGGAACAAAAAUUGAACUUUGUAUGAUAGUCUGUAUGAUAGUCUGAAUAAGCAUACCAGAAUUUGUCAUUUACACUUUUAAAAUCAUUCGCUAGUAUUUUCCAACCUUUAGACCACCUACCCAACAGAAUCUUUUAAUUUUCUUAAGUGUUAAUAUUUUUUUUAAAUUGCUGAAAUAACUGCUUCUUUGUGAAACAAAAAUUGAACUCUGUAUGAUAGUCUGAAUAAGCAUAGCUUUAUCGAACAAUUUAUCAUUUGUACGUUUAGAAUAAUUCAUUUUAACCUUUUAAAGGGUCACGAAAAAACAUAUCGCUCUACAUUUUUGACUCGUUUGUGCGUGACUAAUUAGCCAUAUUAGAUUCGUACACUUCUUGCAUA
This is a long non-coding RNA of Hylaeus volcanicus, 2336 nucleotides long. RefSeq lists it as uncharacterized. The record is from RefSeq and is a predicted model, not a curated record. Lineage: Eukaryota; Metazoa; Arthropoda; Insecta; Hymenoptera; Colletidae. The transcript has 3 exons.